AUGGAAGGUGUUAGUGUUUACUCGGACAUCAUUAUGAGCCAGUCUCCCACGGUGCUGUCAGUGGGACUGGGCCAGACCACAACCAUCACCUGUAUGGCCAGUCAAGACAUUAGCUACUACCUCAGUUGGUACCAGCAGCGAGAAGGUCAGAAACCCUCUCUCCUGAUCUAUUAUGCAACAUAUAGAUUCACAGGAGUUUCUGAGCGAUUCACUGGCAUUCACACCAGGACCAGUUUCAUCCUCACAAUCAGCAACGUUCAGAAGGAGGAUGUCGCUGACUAUUACUGUCAGAACAACAAGUAUAGCAGCCCCCCUCUUACAUUCAGUAAAGGAACCAAGCUCAGACUGAGUAAGUAA
Hemiscyllium ocellatum (epaulette shark) is the source of this 357-nucleotide non-coding RNA. Lineage: Eukaryota; Metazoa; Chordata; Chondrichthyes; Orectolobiformes; Hemiscylliidae. The record is from the annotation of a RefSeq genome assembly.